This 498-nucleotide ribosomal RNA is filed under the name uncultured bacterium. RNAcentral's name for it is "partial 16S ribosomal RNA". It matches the Rfam family "Bacterial small subunit ribosomal RNA", at positions 27 to 507 of the family's 1533-position model. The record is from RNAcentral.
GGAUGAACGCUGGCGGCGUGCCUAAUACAUGCAAGUCGAGCGAACAGAUGAGGAGCUUGCUCCUCUGACGUUCGCGGCGGACGGGUGAGUAACACGUGGAUAACCUACCUAUAAGACUGGGAUAACUUCGGGAAACCGGAGCUAAUACCGGAUAAUAUAUUGAACCGCAUGGUUCAAUAGUGAAAGACGGUUUUGCUGUCACUUAUAGAUGGAUCCGCGCCGCAUUAGCUAGUUGGUAAGGUAACGGCUUACCAAGGCAACGAUGCGUAGCCGAACUGAGAGGGUGAUCGGCCACACUGGAACUGAGACACGGUCCAGACUCCUACGGGAGGCAGCAGUAGGGAAUCUUCCGCAAUGGGCGAAAGCCUGACGGAGCAACGCCGCGUGAGUGAUGAAGGUCUUCGGAUCGUAAAACUCUGUUAUUAGGGAAGAACAAAUGUGUAAGUAACUAUGCACGUCUUGACGGUACCUAAUCAGAAAGCCACGGCUAACUACGUG